RNAcentral lists this long non-coding RNA (216 nucleotides) under Elaeis guineensis (African oil palm). RNAcentral describes it as "long non-coding RNA (EGUI_LNC017979)". The record is from RNAcentral. Lineage: Eukaryota; Viridiplantae; Streptophyta; Magnoliopsida; Arecales; Arecaceae.
CUCUCUGAGUUUUAAAAAUUUCCACAGUCUUGUCCAUUUAUUGUUAAUUGUUUGAAAUAGAAGAUACUACAUGCAACAAACUACAGGACUUCCAAGAACCACUCCCCAUAGCUUCUGAAUUCUUCACCUGGGGCUGCCUUCUCAUCCUGAGAGCUGACUGUAGAGGAUUGCUCAAGUAGACAUUCUAUUUGUUUCAUCAAAUAAAAGACCACAGCU